UACGUAGGGUGCAAGCGUUGUCCGGAAUUAUUGGGCGUAAAGAGCUCGUAGGCGGUCUGUCGCGUCUGCUGUGAAAACUCAGGGCUUAACCCUGAGCUUGCAGUGGGUACGGGCAGACUAGAGUGCGGUAGGGGAGACUGGAAUUCCUGGUGUAGCGGUGAAAUGCGCAGAUAUCAGGAGGAACACCGGUGGCGAAGGCGGGUCUCUGGGCCGUAAACUGAC
This 222-nucleotide ribosomal RNA is filed under the name uncultured bacterium. RNAcentral describes it as "partial 16S ribosomal RNA". It matches the Rfam family "Bacterial small subunit ribosomal RNA", at positions 524 to 744 of the family's 1533-position model. The record is from RNAcentral.